RNAcentral lists this microRNA precursor (104 nucleotides) under Daucus carota subsp. sativus. Its description in RNAcentral is "pre miRNA MIR403". The record is from RNAcentral. Lineage: Eukaryota; Viridiplantae; Streptophyta; Magnoliopsida; Apiales; Apiaceae.
ACUGGGUGCUAAUUUGGACGUCAAUCUUAGCGAAUCAUCAAAAAUAUUAAAAUUAAUAUUUUUGAUGAUUCGCUAAGAUUGACGUCCAAAUUAGCACCCAGUUG